Molecule: transfer RNA, 85 nt
Filed under: Actinoalloteichus hoggarensis
Lineage: Bacteria; Bacillati; Actinomycetota; Actinomycetes; Pseudonocardiales; Pseudonocardiaceae
Description: tRNA-Ala
Source: RNAcentral
CGGGUCGGUGGCCGGCUCGGCGGCAGCCGCCGAUCGCCGUGGCGGGCGGCAGGGGGCGCGGCGAUCGUGGCGCCGCCGGUGCGGC